GUGAAGCUUGAGCAAUCUGUCAUCUCAAAGCAUCGACGGAAAAGCUCCCUUGUGUAGAGUUUUUUAAAAUUGGAGAUGACCUGCUGGUCCAUUGGCUGGAGUAGUGGGGUGGUGUUAGGCGGAAGGAAGGAACAUGACCUUGAUGAAAUUAAAGUCCUCCAGCAAGUCUUCCUCGAGGCCUGGAGGAUGGGCAGGAGCAUUGUCCAUGAGCAGCAUGGCCUUGAGAGGCAGGUUAUUGUCCAUAAGGUACUUCUUCACAGCAGGAACAAAAAACGCAUUGACCCACUUCACAAACAAGAGACGUGUGACCAAAGCCUUUGGGUUAGACUGCCACAAAACGCUCAACUGCUCCUUGUUCACCUUGUGUUUCUUGAAGGCCCGUGGGUUCUCUGAAUGGUAGACAAGCAGGGGCUUGAUCUUAAGGUCCCCACUGGCGUUGGCGCAGAACAGGAGGGUGAGACAGUCCUUCAUCGGCUUGUGGCCAGGCAAUGAGGUCUCCUCUUCUGUGAUGAAGGUACGCUUUGGCAUCCUCUUCCAGAAGAAUCCAGUCUCGUCGCAGUUG
This is a non-coding RNA of Pelobates cultripes (western spadefoot toad), 562 nucleotides long. Lineage: Eukaryota; Metazoa; Chordata; Amphibia; Anura; Pelobatidae. The record is from the annotation of a GenBank genome assembly.